RNAcentral lists this ribosomal RNA (760 nucleotides) under Bacillus pumilus. Its description in RNAcentral is "bacterial SSU rRNA". It matches the Rfam family "Bacterial small subunit ribosomal RNA", at positions 219 to 967 of the family's 1533-position model. The record is from RNAcentral. Lineage: Bacteria; Bacillati; Bacillota; Bacilli; Caryophanales; Bacillaceae.
UUACAGAUGGACCCCGCGGCGCAUUAGCUAGUUGGUGGGGUAAUGGCUCACCAAGGCGNCGAUGCGUAGCCGACCUGAGAGGGUGAUCGGCCACACUGGGACUGAGACACGGCCCAGACUCCUACGGGAGGCAGCAGUAGGGAAUCUUCCGCAAUGGACGAAAGUCUGACGGAGCAACGCCGCGUGAGUGAUGAAGGUUUUCGGAUCGUAAAGCUCUGUUGUUAGGGAAGAACAAGUGCGAGAGUAACUGCUCGCACCUUGACGGUACCUAACCAGAAAGCCACGGCUAACUACGUGCCAGCAGCCGCGGUAAUACGUAGGUGGCAAGCGUUGUCCGGAAUUAUUGGGCGUAAAGGGCUCGCAGGCGGUUUCUUAAGUCUGAUGUGAAAGCCCCCGGCUCAACCGGGGAGGGUCAUUGGAAACUGGGAAACUUGAGUGCAGAAGAGGAGAGUGGAAUUCCACGUGUAGCGGUGAAAUGCGUAGAGAUGUGGAGGAACACCAGUGGCGAAGGCGACUCCUCUGGUCUGUAACUGACGCUGAGGAGCGAAAGCGUGGGGAGCGAACAGGAUUAGAUACCCUGGUAGUCCACGCCGUAAACGAUGAGUGCUAAGUGUUAGGGGGUUUCCGCCCCUUAGUGCUGCAGCUAACGCCAUUAAGCACUCCGCCUGGGGAGUACGGUCGCAAGACUGAAACUCAAAGGAAUUGACGGGGGCCCGCACAAGCGGUGGANCAUGUGGUUUAAUUCNAAACAACGCGAAAA